RNAcentral lists this transfer RNA (65 nucleotides) under Ooencyrtus plautus. RNAcentral describes it as "tRNA-Arg". The record is from RNAcentral. Lineage: Eukaryota; Metazoa; Arthropoda; Insecta; Hymenoptera; Encyrtidae.
UAAAAAGAAUCUAAAAUUUAGAUAAUAAUUUCGACUUAUUUUUUGGUAUAGUUUACCCUUUUUAU